CGGAGGAUCCAAGCGUUAUCCGGAUUCAUUGGGUUUAAAGGGUGCGUAGGCGGAAUGAUAAGUCAGUGGUGAAAUCUCGGAGCUUAACUCCGAAACUGCCGUUGAUACUGUCAAUCUUGAGUACAUUUGAUGAGGGCGGAAUGUGUCAUGUAGCGGUGAAAUGCUUAGAUAUGACACAGAACACCGAUUGCGAAGGCAGCUCUCAAAACUGUAACUGACGCUGAGGCACGAAAGCGUGGGUAUCAAACAGGAUUAGAUACCCUGGUAGUCCACGCUGUAAACUAUGAUUACUCGAUGUUUGCGAUAUACUGUAAGCGUCUAAGCGAAAGCGAUAAGUAAUCCACCUGGGGAGUACGCUCGCAAGAGUG
This 368-nucleotide ribosomal RNA is filed under the name uncultured organism. Its description in RNAcentral is "bacterial SSU rRNA". It matches the Rfam family "Bacterial small subunit ribosomal RNA", at positions 526 to 896 of the family's 1533-position model. The record is from RNAcentral.